GACUCUCGGCAAUGAAUAUCACGGCUCUCGCAUCGAUGAAGAACGUAGCGAAAUGCGAGGCAACCGAGGAUUCCUGACAUGCCAACGCUCUUCAGGGCAUAGAUAGCCGUGGUAUCA
Molecule: ribosomal RNA, 117 nt
Filed under: Morus notabilis
Lineage: Eukaryota; Viridiplantae; Streptophyta; Magnoliopsida; Rosales; Moraceae
Description: 5.8S ribosomal RNA
Rfam family: 5.8S ribosomal RNA
About the family: 5.8S ribosomal RNA (5.8S rRNA) is a component of the large subunit of the eukaryotic ribosome.
Source: Rfam by way of RNAcentral